This 65-nucleotide transfer RNA is filed under the name Xyleborinus saxesenii. Its description in RNAcentral is "tRNA-Tyr". The record is from RNAcentral. Lineage: Eukaryota; Metazoa; Arthropoda; Insecta; Coleoptera; Curculionidae.
GGUAAAAUGGCUGAGUUUAGGCGGUAAAUUGUAAAUUUAUUAACAAGAUUAUUUCUUUUUUAUCA